Molecule: ribosomal RNA, 450 nt
Filed under: uncultured bacterium
Lineage: Bacteria
Description: bacterial SSU rRNA
Rfam family: Bacterial small subunit ribosomal RNA
Source: RNAcentral
GUGGGGAAUAUUGGACAAUGGGCGAAAGCCUGAUCCAGCCAUGCCGCGUGUGUGAAGAAGGUCUUCGGAUUGUAAAGCACUUUAAGUUGGGAGGAAGGGCAGUAAGUUAAUACCUUGCUGUUUUGACGUUACCAACAGAAUAAGCACCGGCUAACUUCGUGCCAGCAGCCGCGGUAAUACGAAGGGUGCAAGCGUUAAUCGGAAUUACUGGGCGUAAAGCGCGCGUAGGUGGUUCAGCAAGUUGAAGGUGAAAUCCCCGGGCUCAACCUGGGAACUGCCUCCAAAACUACUGAGCUAGAGUACGGUAGAGGGGAGUGGAAUUUCCUGUGUAGCGGUGAAAUGCGUAGAUAUAGGAAGGAACACCAGUGGCGAAGGCGACUACCUGGACUGAUACUGACACUGAGGUGCGAAAGCGUGGGGAGCAAACAGGAUUAGAUACCCGUGUAGUCC